Molecule: long non-coding RNA, 306 nt
Organism: Dunckerocampus dactyliophorus (ringed pipefish)
Lineage: Eukaryota; Metazoa; Chordata; Actinopteri; Syngnathiformes; Syngnathidae
Exons: 3
Source: RefSeq, a predicted model, not a curated record
ACAUUUUCAAUCCAAAGCAGUGUUGUCGAAUAGAGGAUGCAAAGCAUGCUGGGAAAUCACGCACACUGCUGCUCACACUGAACUGAUGUAUCAUUGGCUAAUGUCGGAAGAUUUGAAGAAUGCCGAGGCAGAUGGAGCAAGUUCACAGUUCUUUUAAUGUCUCCAGAGACACGUUCAAGCAGCGGGAGGCAGGGACAGCUGGACUCUACCCGGACGAGGGGAAUAUGCGGCUCCAGAGGUGCAGGAGAAUACAGGAGGACGAUGAGAUAGCUUGAAGGUAGCAAACGGAAUGUUGUAUGGGUUGGC